UAAGUUGUCAUUUUUCAGCCGCAGGAAGCUCUUGCGAAAAAGGGUCUUCGGCUUUCUAUUUGGAAGGGAUAGAGGCCUAUUUUGGUGACCCACACAAACGGUGAGAAGAGGUAAAGAGAGAAAGGGGCACAGCAACUGGAAGGAGAGGGAAGUCCAGACACUCUACCACUGUCUGCGAUUGAAUAAGAAAUUUCUCUUUGGAUCAGGGGGUCAAGCUUCUAGUAUGAAGAUUGUUCAAGAGUCAAGACUGUUGAAGAGGUGACGUCAUGGACCUGGUAGCACCUGGCAAGGGAACUAAAUUAUAUUACUGUUCACCCUCAAGUAUCCUAAAAACGGUUUAAAAUUUUGAACAUUAACAAAAGUACUAAUUUUCAUUUUUUCAAAGAUAAUAAUCAUUAUAUUGAC
Molecule: long non-coding RNA, 405 nt
Filed under: Lytechinus variegatus (green sea urchin)
Lineage: Eukaryota; Metazoa; Echinodermata; Echinoidea; Temnopleuroida; Toxopneustidae
Description: uncharacterized LOC121410951
Source: RNAcentral